Molecule: transfer RNA, 76 nt
Filed under: Sphingomonas sp.
Lineage: Bacteria; Pseudomonadati; Pseudomonadota; Alphaproteobacteria; Sphingomonadales; Sphingomonadaceae
Description: tRNA-Gly
Rfam family: tRNA (bases 7-67)
About the family: Transfer RNA (tRNA) molecules are approximately 80 nucleotides in length.
Source: RNAcentral
GCUUUCCGUAGCUCAGGGGUAGAGCACAACCUUGCCAAGGUUGGGGUCGAGGGUUCGAAUCCCUUCGCCCGCUCCA